UUCCCUGAGGUGUUCGUCUAGGGGUUAAGUCCCUGAGCCGAUACUAAUACUUUAGGAUUAUGAUUUCUUAGCUAUUGAGCAGGCUCGGCAUGUACCGAGAAGCCUACGGUUGAGGAUUGUUUUCCGCCUUGAACUUUACGGUUCAAGGGCCAUUACCCACAGCGGCAUUUUGGGGAA
This 177-nucleotide non-coding RNA is filed under the name uncultured Catenovulum sp. Its description in RNAcentral is "6S / SsrS RNA". It matches the Rfam family "6S / SsrS RNA". Rfam says of the family: E. coli 6S RNA was the first non coding RNA to be sequenced, but its function was unknown until recently. It consists of 184 nucleotides that fold into an extended hairpin structure with a large single-stranded internal bulge. Lineage: Bacteria; Pseudomonadati; Pseudomonadota; Gammaproteobacteria; Alteromonadales; Alteromonadaceae. The record is from RNAcentral.